UUUUUGUAAGACAAAUGAAACUUCUUUUAAACUAAAAAAAAGUUAUAAAAAAUGGUCAAUUGUUGUAAAUAAUACAAGUCAAUCAGUUUUACUGAAAAGAAAGUAAAAUUUUGAUAACAGUUUUACGCGGAAACCCAAAUUUUCAACUGAAGGAUUAACCAUUUACUUAAUCAAUAUACUUCUCAAGUAUUUGGAUAUUUCCGAAAAGCACUUGAGGGUACUUACCGCUGAUCCAGGAGAGAUUUGGUCCAAUUCGUCCAUUAGCUUCAGGCACUUGAGGGUACUUACCGCUGAUCCAAGAGAGAUUUGGUCCAAUUCGUUCAUUAGCUUCCAGAUAUUACUUACCAUUUUUCCACAAGGUACAACUUCGUUGGAGUUCAUUUUUGGUUUUUUUAUAAAUAAACAAAAAAAUAAAAAAUUGUGAAAAUUUUUCAAUAAAUUU
This 442-nucleotide long non-coding RNA is filed under the name Lucilia cuprina (Australian sheep blowfly). Its description in RNAcentral is "uncharacterized LOC124421458, transcript variant X1". The record is from RNAcentral. Lineage: Eukaryota; Metazoa; Arthropoda; Insecta; Diptera; Calliphoridae.